GACGAACGCUGGCGGCGUGCCUAACACAUGCAAGUCGAGCGAGGAACUUCGGUUCCUAGCGGCGGACGGGUGAGUAACACGUGGGCAACCUGCCUUGUAGAGGGGGAUAGCCUUCCGAAAGGAAGAUUAAUACCGCAUAACAUCACGAAAUCGCAUGGUUUUGUGAUCAAAGGAGCAAUCCGCUACAAGAUGGGCCCGCGGCGCAUUAGCUAGUUGGUGAGGUAACGGCUCACCAAGGUGACGAUGCGUAGCCGACCUGAGAGGGUGAUCGGCCACAUUGGAACUGAGAAACGGUCCAGACUCCUACGGGAGGCAGCAGUGGGGAAUAUUGCACAAUGGGGGAAACCCUGAUGCAGCAACGCCGCGUGAGUGAUGAAGGCCUUCGGGUUGUAAAGCUCUGUCUUCAGGGACGAUAAUGACGGUACCUGAGGAGGAAGCCACGGCUAACUACGUGCCAGCCGCCGCAGUAA
RNAcentral lists this ribosomal RNA (470 nucleotides) under uncultured bacterium. Its description in RNAcentral is "partial 16S ribosomal RNA". It matches the Rfam family "Bacterial small subunit ribosomal RNA", at positions 28 to 523 of the family's 1533-position model. The record is from RNAcentral.